RNAcentral lists this ribosomal RNA (259 nucleotides) under uncultured bacterium. RNAcentral's name for it is "partial small subunit ribosomal RNA". It matches the Rfam family "Bacterial small subunit ribosomal RNA", at positions 26 to 287 of the family's 1533-position model. The record is from RNAcentral.
AGAUUGAACGCUGGCGGCGUGCCUAACACAUGCAAGUCGAGCGGUAACAGGUGUAGCAAUACAUGCUGACGAGCGGCGAACGGUGAGUAAUGCUUUGGAAUCUUCCCAGUAGUGGGGAAUAACCAGUCGAAAGAUUGGCUAAUACCGCAUACGUCUGUAAAGGGAAAGCGGGGGCUCGUAAGACCUCGCGCUAUUGGAUGAGCCAAAGUCGGAUUAGCUAGUUGGUGGGUAAUGGCCUACCAAGGCGACAAUCCGUAGC